UAGUACUUAAAGCAAACGUUUAUUUCGCAAGGGUGCGUGAUUUACUAGUUUGAACAUUUGUGCUAUGAAAUACAUACAUAUUAAAAGACAGUAUAGAGACGCACCAUAGUUGGC
Molecule: non-coding RNA, 114 nt
Organism: Biomphalaria pfeifferi
Lineage: Eukaryota; Metazoa; Mollusca; Gastropoda; Planorbidae
Source: the annotation of a GenBank genome assembly